UGACCGCUGGCGGCGUGCCUACUACAUGCAAGUCGAGCGAACAGAUGAGGAGCUUGCUCCUCUGACGUUAGCGGCGGACGGGUGAGUAACACGUGGAUAACCUACCUAUAAGACUGGGAUAACUUCGGGAAACCGGAGCUAAUACCGGAUAAUAUAUUGAACCGCAUGGUUCAAUAGUGAAAGACGGUUUUGCUGUCACUUAUAGAUGGAUCCGCGCCGCAUUAGCUAGUUGGUAAGGUAACGGCUUACCAAGGCAACGAUGCGUAGCCGACCUGAGAGGGUGAUCGGCCACACUGGAACUGAGACACGGUCCAGACUCCUACGGGAGGCAGCAGUAGGGAAUCUUCCGAAAUGGGCGAAAGCCUGACGGAGCAACGCCGCGUGAGUGAUGAAGGUCUUCGGAUCGUAAAACUCUGUUAUUAGGGAAGAACAAAUGUGUAAGUAACUAUGCACGUCUUGACGGUACCUAAUCAGAAAGCCACGGCUAACUACGUG
This 495-nucleotide ribosomal RNA is filed under the name uncultured bacterium. Its description in RNAcentral is "partial 16S ribosomal RNA". It matches the Rfam family "Bacterial small subunit ribosomal RNA", at positions 30 to 507 of the family's 1533-position model. The record is from RNAcentral.